UACAGGGGGUGCAAACGUUGCUCGAAAUUAUUGGGCGUAAAGCGCGCGUAGGCGGCCACUUAAGUCGGAUGUGAAAGCCCCUGGCUCAACUGGGGAAGUGCACCCGAAACUGAGUAGCUAGAGUACUAAAGAGGGUCGCGGAAUUCCCGGUGUAGAGGUGAAAUUCGUAGAUAUCGGGAGGAACACCGGUGGCGAAGGCGGCGACCUGGGUAGAUACUGACGCUGAGGCGCGAAAGCGUGGGGAGCAAACAGG
Molecule: ribosomal RNA, 253 nt
Filed under: uncultured bacterium
Lineage: Bacteria
Description: partial 16S ribosomal RNA
Rfam family: Bacterial small subunit ribosomal RNA
Source: RNAcentral